This 2660-nucleotide long non-coding RNA is filed under the name Pelobates cultripes (western spadefoot toad). The record is from RNAcentral. Lineage: Eukaryota; Metazoa; Chordata; Amphibia; Anura; Pelobatidae.
CAGGCUGCCAAUGGAAUAUGUGAUCUGCGUGCUAUAGUGUAAGUAAGAUUUUUUUGUAAAGAGUUCAAUAACCCCACGGAUUAUUUCUCCUGUAGAAUGCCAUCAGUCACCGUCAUCAUAUAAAGAUUUAUAUUCUAUAAAAAUAUAACAGACCAUCUUUGCUAUCAAAAUCCAGUUAUUUAAAAAAAAAAAACAUUUUCGUCCUCUUCUUUUUUUUUUUGUUUGCAUAAAUACCAUGUAUGUAUUGUAUGUAAAAUAAAAAACACUUUAUAAAAUAAAGGUGUAGCUACUAAAUAGUGAUUUUAAAUAUAUAUAUAUAUAUAUAUAUAUAUUGUCUCUGGGAAUCAGAACAAUAGGUUCUUUGUACUCAUCAUAAAGUAAUUGUUUUCUUGUUUUACGUUAAGAGGGAAUUUAUUUGAAAUCCCCUUUACUAUAUUUCCUUGUUCUGUUUGGUUUUUUGGACAGGUUGCGCACAAAGCGCAGGACAUUAUGCAUGAAUCCCACAAAUAAGCAAGUCUUGAAAUGGAUCAAGAAGAAAAAGAAAAGUGCGCAAUGCGAGACGACGUCAACAUGCCGUGGCAAAAAUAAGAAAAACAAAAAAAGAAAGCGAAAAAGAACAACGUUUUUAAAAGUUUAAAGGGCUCAUCGUGCACUAAUGACUACUGACAAUAGGAUCGACUCUUGCUACCACUUAUGAAGUGGACAUAAUCAACUUACUUAAAACCUUUUUAGCUAUCACAAAGAAAUGUAGGGGCAGGUAACUGGAUUGAGGAUAUACCGAAGGUUUACUAGAAUAAACUGCAUUUUUAAGGCAUAGCGUUUUAAACAUACAUUUAUCCCUGUGAAUCUAUUAGCAAAAAACUGGACAGUGAUAUCGCACCUUCGGACUGCAAAAUGUUUUGUAAAUUACAUUUCCCAUGAUGUUCAGUGGGCAAGCUUUGCAAUUAAAUUGUGAAAAAUGACAUGCAUAUUUUAGAGAAUUUUGCCUACAAGUAUAAACAAGACACUAACAGGUGGUUUUAAGACACUGUCACGGAUAUUCAAGCAAGAUAAAAAAAAAAAAAAAAUAUUCAAAGCUUGUUUUUUGGAAUCGAUUUUCAAUCCUCUCAAGAGUCAGUAAAGAUAAGGUUGAAUGUGAGCAAGUCAGAGGAAAAAGCUGUGUAAGCACAAGCCUAAACAACUACAACUAAAACAAGAUAUAGUAAACUAAUAAAGUGAAAUAAUCGCAUAAGUCAGAUUCAGUUAAAGCAUUAAAAGGGCAGACAAUUUGCAAGAAAUACGUGGUUGCCGAAAAUUUUGCUUGAUGUGUGAUUUCUACAUGUGACACAUGAGAAUGUGGUUAAACUUGAAAAAGUAAAUGUAACAAGACAAAAAAAAUGGGAAGAAAAAUGACACGUGGUAGAAAACUGUAUAGAACAGUGUAGGCAACCUUUUAGAAACAAGUCUCUAAAAUCCCUUGGCUGGUCCUAUUUUAUUUAAAUUAAAGUGUGUAUGUUGCCUUAUUCUGCUUGUGUUAUGUAACAGUGCUGCAGUUGCUUUGUAGGAUUCUAUUUGGGCAAAUGUGAGCGGUGUUAUAUGUGUAAGCAGUUAGUGGUAGUAUGUGUUACAUAUAUAUGUGGGCUGUGUAUCAUGUGUGAAUGUGGGCUGUCUAUGUAGGACUGCUCGUGGAAUUGUGAGAGUGUCAGAUUGUAUUGUGCGUGUGUGUGGUGUUAUGUAUAUGUUUGGGUACUGCGCGUGUGAGGCUGCUUGUGGUGAUGUGUGCAAGUAUGUGUGUUGUCAGUGGUAUUUUGUUCAUGGUGGCUGUGUGUGUGCUGUUUGUAGUAUUUGCCUGCUGGGGACUCUUCUUCUGCGGCUGUGUCUGAAUGUCUUGCUAUGUAGGUGGUUUCCUUGGGUUCCAGUGGGGAACAGGAUGGCCAGGUACAGGUCAAGUGCAGGGGCUACAUUAACAGCUGAGGGCUGCUCUUAUCCAGUGCGGAUUCCCCUUUACAAGCAGUGGGAGGAAGUGAUUUGAGAUCAAUUCCUCCAUGUGCUGCAAUGACUAAAUUGAGGACUGCACCACAUCAACUGCUGCAAUCACUGCUUGGCCAAACAUUCAGCUGGAACCAGCAGAUAUCUGAAGAAAUCUCACUGGGGCCACUUAUAGGCCAGCCCCAGGCGAGAUCCUAAGAUAUCCUCAUCCUGUUUGGAUCUGGCAGCCUUGCUGGCCAUUUAAAGCUAAAUUGACCACGUGCAUGGCACACGUGCCAUAGGUUGCUGAACCCUGGUAUAAUGCAUUCUCACAAGGUCUUAAUAAACCUCUGAGCACUUCUAUAAUUACCAGGAAAUAGUCUUCAUGUGUGCAACUCAACUAAGUUUCUCUCUCUCUCUCUCUCUCUCUCUCUCUCAAUGUUAUAUAUGUUUUACUUUCCAUAGUGCAUAUUUCUCUGAACAAGUCAACAAUGAUAAAUAACCAAUUUAGUUUUUAUCCCCCAUCAUAGAUACGCCAUCAUAUCUAGCAUAUGAAACACAAUGGAGACUGUGCAUAAGAUGCAAUUGUGUGGGUGAAGAGCUAGUGUAUGGAGCAAUUUGCGGUGCCGUUCUGUUGGUUUCCAUAGUGAUUUUUUUACUUUUAGAUUUUUUUCCUUCAAAAUUGUUCUUUAUGCAUGUAUAUAUUUAAAAAG